This 378-nucleotide unclassified non-coding RNA is filed under the name plant metagenome. Its description in RNAcentral is "partial contains internal transcribed spacer 2 and large subunit ribosomal RNA". The stretch from base 1 to 105 matches the Rfam family "5.8S ribosomal RNA", at positions 50 to 154 of the family's 154-position model. The record is from RNAcentral.
AAAAUACGAAAAGUAAUAUGAAUUGCAGAAACGAAUCAUCAACUAUUUGAACGCACAUUGCGCUCUUUGGGUUAAAAAACCAAGAGCAUGUCUAUUUGAGUAUCAUGAAAUCUUCAAAGUAAAUCUUUUGUUAACUCAAUUGGUUUCUACUUUGGUAUUGGAGGUCUUUGCAGCUUCACACCUGCUCCUCUUUGUUCAUUAGCUGGAUCUCAGUGUUAUGCUUGGUUCCACUCGGCGUGAUAAGUUAUCUAUCGCUGAGGACACUGUAAAAGGUGGCCAAGGUAAAUGCAGAUGAACCGCGUCUAAUAGUCCAUUGACUUGGACAAUACUUUUAUGAUCUGAUCUCAAAUCAGGUAGGACUACCCGCUGAACUUAAGC